CACGCAGGCUGAAUUAUAAGUCGGUAGUAAAAGGCGGGGCUCAACUUCCGUAUAUCUAUCGAUACUGUAAAUCUAGAGUAUGUGAGAGGGAAGCGGAAUUCCCGGUGUAGCGGUGAGAUGCGUAGAUAUCGGGAGGAACACCAGUGGCGAAGGCGGCUUCCUGGCACAAUACUGACGCUCAUGUGCGAAAGCUAGGGCAGCGAACGG
RNAcentral lists this ribosomal RNA (207 nucleotides) under uncultured bacterium. RNAcentral's name for it is "partial 16S ribosomal RNA". It matches the Rfam family "Bacterial small subunit ribosomal RNA", at positions 568 to 775 of the family's 1533-position model. The record is from RNAcentral.